Molecule: ribosomal RNA, 488 nt
Filed under: uncultured bacterium
Lineage: Bacteria
Description: partial 16S ribosomal RNA
Rfam family: Bacterial small subunit ribosomal RNA
Source: RNAcentral
GAUGAACGCUGGCGGCGUGCUUAACACAUGCAAGUCGAACGAAGCAAUUUUGAAACUUCGGUUUCAAAAUUGACUUAGUGGCGGACGGGUGAGUAACGCGUAGGUAACCUGCCUUAUACAGGGGGAUAACAGCUGGAAACGGCUGCUAAUACCGCAUAACACAGUGAGGUCGCAUGACUUUAUUGCCAAAGAUUUAUCGGUAUAAGAUGGACCUGCGUCUGAUUAGCUAGUUGGUGAGGUAAUGGCUCACCAAGGCGACGAUCAGUAGCCGACUUGGGAGAGGGAUCGGCAACAUUGGGACUGAGGCACGGCCCAAACUCCUACGGGAGGCAGCAGUGGGGAAUAUUGCACAAUGGGGGAAACCCUGAUGCAGCGACGCCGCGUGAGUGAUGAAGUAUUUCGGUAUGUAAAGCUCUAUCAGCAGGGACGAAAAAAGACGGUACCUGACUAAGAAGCCCCGGCUAACUACGUGCCAGCCGCCGCAGUAA